GACGAACGCUGGCGGCGUGCCUAAUACAUGCAAGUAGAACGCUGAAGGAGGAGCUUGCUUCUCUGGAUGAGUUGCGAACGGGUGAGUAACGCGUAGGUAACCUGCCUGGUAGCGGGGAUAACUAUUGGAAACGAUAGCUAAUACCGCAUAAGAGUAGAUGUUGCAUGACAUUUGCUUAAAAGGUGCAAUUGCAUCACUACCAGAUGGACCUGCGUUGUAUUAGCUAGUUGGUGGGGUAACGGCUCACCAAGGCGACGAUACAUAGCCGACCUGAGAGGGUGAUCGGCCACACUGGGACUGAGACACGGCCCAGACUCCUACGGGAGGCAGCAGUAGGGAAUCUUCGGCAAUGGACGGAAGUCUGACCGAGCAACGCCGCGUGAGUGAAGAAGGUUUUCGGAUCGUAAAGCUCUGUUGUAAGAGAAGAACGAGUGUGAGAGUGGAAAGUUCACACUGUGACGGUAUCUUACCAGAAAGGGACGGCUAACUACGUG
This 494-nucleotide ribosomal RNA is filed under the name uncultured bacterium. RNAcentral describes it as "partial 16S ribosomal RNA". It matches the Rfam family "Bacterial small subunit ribosomal RNA", at positions 28 to 507 of the family's 1533-position model. The record is from RNAcentral.